Molecule: long non-coding RNA, 709 nt
Filed under: Struthio camelus australis
Lineage: Eukaryota; Metazoa; Chordata; Aves; Struthioniformes; Struthionidae
Description: lncRNA (ENSSCUG00000013796.1)
Source: RNAcentral
UGAAAAGCCGGAUUGGAUGAAACAGAAGAGAAACAUUUGGGAACUUACAGACUCAUAUGAUGAGUUACAGGAAGUUGAACCUGUUGAAGAAGAUCCAAAGGAGAAAGAGGAGAGAAAGCAAUGAGAAUGUGGAGUGACGAGAGCUAACAGUUAAAAGUCUUUCUCAAUUGUUAGGGAAGGCAUGUAGUUAAUUCAGUUUGCAUUGGAAAUAGAUCUGAACAUGGACCGAAGCUUGAAAAUAAAAGGAAAGAUUGCCAAGGCAGUUGUAGUUCAUCAAGAAAUUUACAAACAAAAAAGGCAAAGUCGUUAAUUCUCAUGCGAUUUUUUUUAAGAGUUCAUUGACCUCUGGUGUUGCUUUUUCUGUUUCAAGUGGAAUUCAACCUGUUACACUCGAAUCUGUUUUGCCUCCCCUGUUCCUAUACCAUCUGUGCCUGAUGAUGACCUGGAUGAUCCUUCAUUGCCAUCUUCUACUACCUUCUAUUAGAGUCAGUGGUAUCACUGCCAUCUGUCAACUUGCCCAUGCAACUACAUUUUUUCAGCAAAGUAUUAAGCAAGGAAAAUGAUGUUCACAGUUCUUUUUUUCACAUGGACGCAAUCCUUUUCUCUUUUUGUCUUGGAGUUUCCACCCCCAAAGAGUCCACGGCCCUCUUGCAAGAAAACGUUUGGAAAGGAGCUUGAGCCCAUGCUGAGCGUUUCCUGAACUGAGGCU